RNAcentral lists this ribosomal RNA (3340 nucleotides) under Triticum aestivum (bread wheat). Its description in RNAcentral is "partial small subunit ribosomal RNA". Lineage: Eukaryota; Viridiplantae; Streptophyta; Magnoliopsida; Poales; Poaceae. The record is from RNAcentral.
UACACGUGAGCCAGUCACCCACCGUCCGGAUCGCUUUCCUUAUGCCGGGCCCUAUGCCGAUCCUUUUUCCAUCCACAUAAGACACGCCGGGUAACGAGCCUUUGACAGGGGGCGUGCGACCGACAAACCUAUCGCUAAUCCGGGUACUGGUAACAAGCUUUAUCGUGUCUUAGUAGUUCCUUUUUUUAUCCCUUAGAGAGGUCGUGCUGGUCUCAACGCACCUCAUUUGGUCUUGGUGGGUUGGCGAGACGACGAGGUCCCUUUUAUAGACCACGUGGCGGCUCUGGGUAGGUAGGGGUAGAGGUAGGUAGACCGAGGUGGCUCCGCUGACACGACGAGGCGGCUCUGGACGAGGUAGGGGUCGACGUAGACAAACCCCGUGCCGCCGCCGUCGCGACGGCCGGGCUAUAGAUGAACUAAGGGCAGAGGUAGGCAAACGGCCUGCCGCCACAGAAAGUGUCGUGUCGUUCUACAGGUGGUUACCGCAGCUCGAGCUACCCCACACACGAGGCGGGCGCCGUACCUUGUCGACGCGGAUAGGUCAGCUCAGCGUCCUAAGCUACUCGCAGGGUUGGUACCGUAAACCGUGGCCGCCGCUACGUGUCGAUCAGCCCCUACGUCGCUCCCGGCUCCACACAAGACUUCGUUGGUCACCGACCUGUGCGUCUACUAAUAGGUCCCACUCCUAGCCCUUUCGGGGCCUCCUUUCCCUCUACUUGGGUUUAUCCUUUAGUCGAUAACAUAACAGAGACGCGCGAAUACGACUAUUCUUCCUACCGGGAUAAGAGACAGGUUCAUAACCUUGUUCGAAACUGAGAUAACUGCUCCGAUACUCAAGAUGUUAGAAAUAAGUACCCUUACACCAAAACCUCAAUCCGAGCGCUUUUCAUCUGACUUACAGCUCUCCUUCUCUACGUACGUUCUCUAGCACACACGAACACGCCCGUUUGGUUAGUCCCUUUUGUCGGCGAGCAGAUCCACACCGACGUUGCGGUACUAUUCCGACAACGCCAGUUUACUGUUUCCCACCAUAUAACGUCUUGUGUUUCUACGGGUAUUAGUGGGCUACAGAAACUGCACACCCGUCUUCGACGUGACCUUCAGAGUAUCUGUAUAUCUAUCUAUGUGGUUCCUAGAUCACUUUGUCAACUCUCUGUUAUUACACCCCGAACCUUUCCACAAGUCAUAGCAACCAUCAAAAAAGCCAAGUCAUCUAUUACACGGUAAAUGCUUCUCCAGCAACUUCUGUGAGACAUCCUUUGAUUUAUCUCACAGAAGUUGCUGGAGAAGCCAAGUCAUCAGCAAUCCUUAGAGAACCAUCAGACUGUACCUACAUCACUUCUACUACCUCUAAGACAGACUCUACUUCCGAUUACUAGGACUAAAGUUAAUGUGUCAUGUUCACCUACUCCUCUCGGCACAUUUUUGUGACUACACCCAUUGUUCGUUUCCAAAACUAAUCAUGUCCACGAAGCCUCUACGUUAUUGAAAACUAUGUUGCAUGGCGUGGUUAGAUAUACUAUACGGAAAGCCAGAAAAACAACCUCAAUUGUUAGUGAAAGUUUCGUAUUAAAAACCACCGCGUUACUACUCCCUACUCUUUCUCCUGUGUAAGUUCACCUAUAAGUCCCUCAAGUAGGCGUACCAACCGCCCUUUGUGGGCGUCUGCUAAGAAUGACUGGUCCGCGCACGAUACCUCGACCGAUAACGCCGUCUUGAUGGUUUGUGUCAUGUGGCAACCACAUUCACCGUGCAAAACUUCUUCCGCUUCCUCAGCUACACACACGAGACCUCGUUCCUGUCAUUUAAAUUCUACCUCAAGGUGUUCGAACAUGUAGUGUACUAGUGUCUCCUUCUUAAACUUCGACCAACCGUCCUGUACAACCUUUUAAUGUUGAACUCCUUCGUAGGUAAGGACUGCGUCUAUAUGCUCCACGCCGUAUUCACCCGUUUCGGUAUAAAGUCUCCGCACAAAACAAGUUUCUACUGAUCGUGUGUUGCUUCGCUUUCACGAUUGGUAGACGACUUCCCAAUACAAGGUGGCCCCACGGGAUACGUGGAAAAGAACUUUGUUAAGCCUUUCGAAGUCAAACUGUCCCUCAGUCUUCUCUCGAAGGUUCUCUUCUCCUGUAACGAUUCACCACAGAGUGAGAACACAUCGUACGAUCGUUCCACAUGUGGGCUCGGUACAAGCUCUUUAAACCACUUCUCGACAUAUUUACACCGCGUGUACACAACCUACUCUAACAUGGCUCUUUCUAAAUGUUUAGUUGUGUACAUCUACGCCGCCGUUCUCUUUUUACCUCAUUCCAUCUCAAGUUCUAACUUCACUUACUACUGCUCUCAAAAAAAUCAACGCUUACACCGUGUAAACUUGUGAGACCGAACCACACAACGGUACGUAACGUCCAAUACCACAACCAGGCAGACAGCUUCUAUGGGCUCUUUGUAUAUUACUUUGCUGCCUGUUCUCUACGUGCUCUACAAGAAGGACGUGUAAACCAUGCCAUGGUUUCUCUGUCUCCGGGAGGAAGAUCACUGUGUAAGUCCGUAGUGUGUUACAUGUACUUCCGCGAACUUACACACAACGAACCACUAUCAUUACAAUUCACGAUACUACAAAAGUACCGAUACUACUUCCUCCACGUUCGGCGAGACCACGGCAAUUCGUCACUAUUCCUACCGUACCCUGAUCGGCUUUCCCUUGUUGUUUUAGUCAACGAACAAGUCUUGGUCGUUCUCCGUGAGCUCAACGUUCCGACACGCUGUUCCAGACUCACACUACCACUUAGUUCAACAAGUCACUAACAUCCUGUCGUCUUGUUUGCCGGCUCCCCAUCUGGAUGUCGUUCGGCACUGUUUCGAGGCAUACUUCUUGUAAACUUCUCUAGCGCCAAGACGUGCUAGACGUCCCCAGUCCCGGUGUUUACGUGUUGAACGGGUCUCUCUCCGCUAGACGGGUUCCGCGGUUCCUUUAACGGUUUCACAAGUUUAACACCACACGAACCUGUGUCCGCGUUACGAACACCGUGGUUCUUUAGACCUGGCAAGCUCGGGUUAAAAGACAUUCGCUCUGACGACGUGCGACACACAAGUAAAAGUAGAAGCGGUCCUGGUUCCUGACGCAUGCCUAAACAGUAGAUUUGCGCCCGUAAAGCAUGAAUUGCAAUCGCCACUACAUUAAAUUAAAAAAGAUAUCCGACGUUUAGACACGAAACGUACACGCUGUCGAACGACAACGACUACAACACUAAACAUCUCUUCUGACGUUAGAUACCCUAUAGUAAAAAUAAAACCACACGAAUUUACUCAACCAUUAGCGUUCAGAUAAAGUCUUGGU